GUCAUUCCAGAUCACGCGCCGUUUAGGAGGCAACCAUGUUUAUCGAUACUGUAGUUAUUGCUGGUAUUGGCACUGUACUGCUGAUGUUCGCCUUCUUUGGUGGGGUCGGCAUGUUUAUUUGGAAGGACUCGCACAAGCGCAAGUAAGGCUGAGUCUUUCAACACGACUGCACGCAAGGCAGCUUCAGGCGACUUAGGUCGCCUUUUUUUUUG
This 212-nucleotide small RNA is filed under the name Pseudomonas sp. M30-35. Its description in RNAcentral is "PhrS". It matches the Rfam family "PhrS". Lineage: Bacteria; Pseudomonadati; Pseudomonadota; Gammaproteobacteria; Pseudomonadales; Pseudomonadaceae. The record is from Rfam by way of RNAcentral.